Molecule: transfer RNA, 75 nt
Filed under: Selinum carvifolia
Lineage: Eukaryota; Viridiplantae; Streptophyta; Magnoliopsida; Apiales; Apiaceae
Description: tRNA-His
Source: RNAcentral
GAAAAAAAACAAAUAAGAAACUAAAACGACCCUUACAAACCUUACAAAAGGGGAAUUUCGAAAACGAAUAGUGAA